RNAcentral lists this ribosomal RNA (350 nucleotides) under uncultured Spirotrichea. RNAcentral describes it as "SSU rRNA". It matches the Rfam family "Eukaryotic small subunit ribosomal RNA", at positions 153 to 510 of the family's 1831-position model. Lineage: Eukaryota; Ciliophora; Spirotrichea. The record is from RNAcentral.
UAAUUCUAGAGCUAAUACAUGCAGGAAGCCCGACUUAAAGGAAGGGCCGUAUUUAUUAGAUAACAGACCAAUAUUCCUCGUGUCUAUUGUGGUGAAUCAUAGUAACUAAUCGGAUCGCAUGGGAAUAUCCCGCGACAAACCAUUCAAGUUUCUGCCCCAUCAGCUUUCGAUGGUAGUGUAUUGGACUACCAUGGCUUUUACGGGUAACGGAGGAUUAGGGUUCGAUUCCGGAGAGGGAGCCUGAGAAACGGCUACCACAUCUAAGGGAGGCAGCAGGCGCGUAAAUUACCCAAUCCUAAUUCAGGGAGGUAGUGACAAGAAAUAACGGAUCGGGGCUAUGCCCUGGGACU